RNAcentral lists this ribosomal RNA (1018 nucleotides) under Staphylococcus aureus. RNAcentral describes it as "partial 23S ribosomal RNA". It matches the Rfam family "Bacterial large subunit ribosomal RNA", at positions 435 to 1461 of the family's 2925-position model. The record is from RNAcentral. Lineage: Bacteria; Bacillati; Bacillota; Bacilli; Caryophanales; Staphylococcaceae.
CGUCGGAAUCUGGGAGGACCAUCUCCUAAGGCUAAAUACUCUCUAGUGACCGAUAGUGAACCAGUACCGUGAGGGAAAGGUGAAAAGCACCCCGGAAGGGGAGUGAAAUAGAACCUGAAACCGUGUGCUUACAAGUAGUCAGAGCCCGUUAAUGGGUGAUGGCGUGCCUUUUGUAGAAUGAACCGGCGAGUUACGAUUUGAUGCAAGGUUAAGCAGUAAAUGUGGAGCCGUAGCGAAAGCGAGUCUGAAUAGGGCGUUUAGUAUUUGGUCGUAGACCCGAAACCAGGUGAUCUACCCUUGGUCAGGUUGAAGUUCAGGUAACACUGAAUGGAGGACCGAACCGACUUACGUUGAAAAGUGAGCGGAUGAACUGAGGGUAGCGGAGAAAUUCCAAUCGAACCUGGAGAUAGCUGGUUCUCUCCGAAAUAGCUUUAGGGCUAGCCUCAAGUGAUGAUUAUUGGAGGUAGAGCACUGUUUGGACGAGGGGCCCCUCUCGGGUUACCGAAUUCAGACAAACUCCGAAUGCCAAUUAAUUUAACUUGGGAGUCAGAACAUGGGUGAUAAGGUCCGUGUUCGAAAGGGAAACAGCCCAGACCACCAGCUAAGGUCCCAAAAUAUAUGUUAAGUGGAAAAGGAUGUGGCGUUGCCCAGACAACUAGGAUGUUGGCUUAGAAGCAGCCAUCAUUUAAAGAGUGCGUAAUAGCUCACUAGUCGAGUGACACUGCGCCGAAAAUGUACCGGGGCUAAACAUAUUACCGAAGCUGUGGAUUGUCCUUUGGACAAUGGUAGGAGAGCGUUCUAAGGGCGUUGAAGCAUGAUCGUAAGGACAUGUGGAGCGCUUAGAAGUGAGAAUGCCGGUGUGAGUAGCGAAAGACGGGUGAGAAUCCCGUCCACCGAUUGACUAAGGUUUCCAGAGGAAGGCUCGUCCGCUCUGGGUUAGUCGGGUCCUAAGCUGAGGCCGACAGGCGUAGGCGAUGGAUAACAGGUUGAUAUUCCUGUACCACCUAUAAUCGUUUUA